RNAcentral lists this unclassified non-coding RNA (196 nucleotides) under uncultured Peziza. Its description in RNAcentral is "sequence contains ITS2". Lineage: Eukaryota; Fungi; Ascomycota; Pezizomycetes; Pezizales; Pezizaceae. The record is from RNAcentral.
UAAUAUCUACUCAGAUCUUUGAUUAUUUUAUAUAGUCUUAGAUUUGGAUUUAAUCAGAGAAGUAACCUAUAUGAGUAGAUUACUCUUUGGAAAAAUAAAGGCAGUUAUAGUGAAACCUAUAUUAAACGUGAUAUUAAAAAGUUUCGUUUUUAAGGACUACAUCUUGGACUUGCCUUUAACCCACUUAAUUCUUUUU